This 280-nucleotide long non-coding RNA is filed under the name Micromonas pusilla. RNAcentral describes it as "long non-coding RNA (MPUS_LNC000151)". Lineage: Eukaryota; Viridiplantae; Chlorophyta; Mamiellophyceae; Mamiellales; Mamiellaceae. The record is from RNAcentral.
CGCGUUCUAUACACUGGUCCCCAUACGACCCCGUUCGCGUGGUGAACGCCGAUCCUUAAGGACUUUGCCCGGCGUGUCUCUCCGCCCACCCCUCGCUUUCAAUCCCCGCCAUCGACGCCUUUCAACUCCGCUUCUGACGCCUUUCAACUCCACCCCGACAUCGCUUUGUAUGGAACGGCCCUUAGGCGUGCCUCUCCGUGCUUCGCGUCAUGCGCGCGCACACCGGACGCGACAAGAUCAUCAAGUUCGAGGGGUGCUACCACGGCCACGCGGACCCGUU